RNAcentral lists this ribosomal RNA (920 nucleotides) under Zoophthora anglica. Its description in RNAcentral is "eukaryotic LSU rRNA". It matches the Rfam family "Eukaryotic large subunit ribosomal RNA", at positions 73 to 935 of the family's 3401-position model. The record is from RNAcentral. Lineage: Eukaryota; Fungi; Entomophthoromycota; Entomophthoromycetes; Entomophthorales; Entomophthoraceae.
GAUUCCCCUAGUAAUGGCGAAUGAACAGGGAACAGCCCAACUUUAAAAUCACCUAACCGUGAAUUGUAGUUUAUAAGAGGGUAGAACUGUGCAGCCUUGCCUUAAGUCUCUUGGAAAAGAGCUACAAAGAGGGUGAAAUACCCGUUUUGGAGCAAGUAGUAGUAUGGAACUUAACUCUAAAGAGUCAUGUUGCUUGAGAAUGCAGCAUAAAAUGGGUGGUAAAUUCCAUCUAAGGCUAAAUACUGGUAGGAGACCGAUAGUAAACAAGUACCUUAAGGGAAAGAUGAAAGAGAACCUUGAAAAGGGUCUCAAAAGAAAGUGAAAUUGUUAUAAGGAAACCGCUUAAAACUUCUAGAGUGUGUGCACCAAUUUAAAGGGGAGCCAUCCCAUUUGUAUUGGUGUAUAGGCGGCUACUGCUCAGGUUUAAGCUUAUGAGGACUAGAGGGCAAGGUAAACUGAGCCUUGGUUCAAUUUCUUACAGGCCUUCUAGCCCUUUAGAGUUUGGGCCAGUGUAUAAAGUCAUGAGGCAGCUAGCCCAUGGUUCAAAUGUUGUAAUAGACAUGUGCUAGAGUAAUGUUUAAACCUUGGCCUAGUACUGCUAGAUGCUUUAGUAGCCAAGAAGACUUAAGCGACCCGUCUUGAAACACGGACCAAGGAGUCUAACAUAUAUGCAAGUAUUGUGGUGACAAACCACAGUGCACAAUGAAAGUAAUUUCAAGGUAGGAACCUUGAAGGUGCACUAUCAACCGAGCUAUAGGGAAUCUUUCCUAUGGUUUGAGUAAGAGCAGACAUGUUGGUACCCGAAAGAUGGUGAACUAUGCCUGAAUAGGGUGAAGCCAGGGGAAACCCUGGUGGAAGCCCGUAGCGAUUCUGACGUGCAAAUCGAUCGUCAAAUUUGGGUAUAGGGGCGAAAGACUAAU